RNAcentral lists this ribosomal RNA (389 nucleotides) under uncultured bacterium. RNAcentral describes it as "bacterial SSU rRNA". It matches the Rfam family "Bacterial small subunit ribosomal RNA", at positions 28 to 419 of the family's 1533-position model. The record is from RNAcentral.
GACGAACGCUGGCGGCGUGCUUAACACAUGCAAGUCGAGCGGUAAGGCCCUUUCGGGGGUACACGAGCGGCGAACGGGUGAGUAACACGUGGGUGACCUGCCCUCAGCUCUGGGAUAAGCCUGGGAAACUGGGUCUAAUACUGGAUAUGACUCCACGGUGCAUGUCGUGGGGUGGAAAGCCUUGUGCGGCUGAGGAUGGGCCCGCGGCCUAUCAGCUUGUUGGUGGGGUGAGGCCUACCAAGGCGACGACGGGUAGCCGGCCUGAGAGGGCGACCGGCCACACUGGGACUGAGACACGGCCCAGACUCCCACGGGAGGCAGCAGUGGGGAAUCUUGCGCAAUGGGCGAAAGCCUGACGCAGCGACGCCGCGUGAGGGAUGACGGCCUGG